UUUUUCCUUAGGUAACCUGAUCGAUUCAGAGACUCCUUAUCUUCGUGUCGUCUGCAGGAAGUACGAACUAGAUCAUUUCUUCCUGGCGACAGGCAAUGGCAGCAGCUCCUCUCUUCCCUCCUGUCCCCUCCGGUGCUCUUUUCUUAUCUUCUUCUGGUUUCCUAUCGAAGAACGAAAAGUUGGACCUCUAGUCUUUCUGCUUCGCCACUUCGUUCGAAAUCCAACUUAAGGUCCCAGUAAAAAGUGAGAGCUCUUCAACCAAAAAAAAUUAAAAAACAGAACAAUCCAAAACGGGCGCUUCUCCUUCGGCAGAAGAAAUUACAGAGAAAUUCGGCCUCGAAGCCGGCCUCUGGAAGAAGUUGGAUCCAAUCCAUGCGGAUAUUCAACUCAAAAGAGGGAGGGACUUGAGUCCAAAGCACAAAGGGGAUCAAGCAAAGGAGUGCUGCCUGCUGCAGAAGGUGGGGAUCACAACGAAUGACAAUGAGAUUGGAGAAAAAGUUGGGGACUUUUGUCCUGCCAUAUGCUGCACACAAAGCUGCAUCUCCAAUCAGGUUUCCUCCAGUAAUAUGUAAACCUCUUUGUAUAUGCUAUGAUCCUUUAUGCUCUUGUUUUAUCGGCAAUUUUCUUGUCUAGUGAAGUUGCAGUACCCUAGAUAAUACUGUCACUGUCAUGAUAGCUCUGAAUCCCAAGUGCACCCUGAGUUGCACUCCUAUUAAUUAUUAAAUUUGCAUAGCUCUGAAUCAAAUUGCUAUAUACGAAUAAAAUGAGCAUUUAGUCUGCAAUCAGAAUAUCUCAUGCAUGAUGAGUGAAAAGAUACCUGGAACAAUAAAGAUUUCAAUUUUAUUUGUUACUGAAUCACAUGAUCAAAUAUACUGUACAAUGGACCAGCUAUCUUCCAUCUUCCUAUUCUCUAGAUUCUUACAGUAAGUUGGCAACAUAUAGUCAUAUACUUGGCAACCCAAGGGUGCAAAUAAAUCCCAAACGGCAGGGUUGCAUCAGUAAAAUACAAGGGAGAUGGGCGAAAAUGAGAGAUUCUAAUAAA
Long non-coding RNA from Nelumbo nucifera (sacred lotus), 1042 nucleotides. RefSeq lists it as uncharacterized. The record is from RefSeq and is a predicted model, not a curated record. NCBI's taxonomy places the organism in Eukaryota, Viridiplantae, Streptophyta, Magnoliopsida, Proteales, Nelumbonaceae.